Molecule: microRNA precursor, 207 nt
Organism: Oryza sativa Indica Group (long-grained rice)
Lineage: Eukaryota; Viridiplantae; Streptophyta; Magnoliopsida; Poales; Poaceae
Rfam family: MIR812 microRNA precursor family
Source: Rfam
AAAGACUGCAGUUUUACAUAUUUUCAUAUCCAACGUUUAACCGUCCGUCUUAUUUGAAAUUUUCUUAUGAUUAGUAUUUUUGUUGUUAUUAAAUGAUAAAAUAUUAAUAGUAUUUUAUGUGUGACUAAUUUUUUAGUUUUUUUAUAAAUUUUUCAAAUAAGACGGAUGGUCAAACAUUGAACACAUAAACCCUCAACUGCAUUUAAA